GACGAACGCUGGCGGCGCGUCUUAAACAUGCAAGUCGAACGAUCUGUAGCAAUACAGGGAGUGGCGGACGGGUGAGGAACACGUAGGAAUCUACCUUGAAGAGCGGGACAACUUUGGGAAACCGGGGCUAAUACCGCAUAGUACAGAGAUGUUAAAGGGCUAGCAAUAGUCGCUUCGAGAUGAGCCUGCGGUCUAUCAGCUUGUUGGUGAGGUAAUGGCUCACCAAGGCUACGACGGAUAGCCGGUCUGAGAGGAUGAUCGGCCACACUGGCACUGAGACACGGGCCAGACUCCUACGGGAGGCAGCAGUUAAGAAUCUUGCGCAAUGGGGGAAACCCUGACGCAGCGACGCCGCGUGAAGGAUGAAGGCUUUCGGGUUGUAAACUUCGGUAGACUGGGAAGAAGAAAUACGUUCGUUGAGGGCGUAUAGUGACGGUACCAGUCUGAAGCCCCGGCUAAUUACGUGCCAGCAGCCGCGGUAAU
This 483-nucleotide ribosomal RNA is filed under the name uncultured bacterium. RNAcentral describes it as "bacterial SSU rRNA". It matches the Rfam family "Bacterial small subunit ribosomal RNA", at positions 28 to 524 of the family's 1533-position model. The record is from RNAcentral.